UUUUGAUGAACCAAACAUAGAGUUAAAGUGCCAAAAUAUACGCUAAUGUAGAUCCCAGAAAAGGUGUUGACUCAUUCUGACAGCAGGACGGUGGUCAUGGAAGUCGAAAUCCGCUAAGAAGUGUGUAACAACUUACCUGCCGAAUGAGUUAGCCCUGAAAAUUGAUGGCGCUCAAGCGUAUUACUUAUACUCUAUCGUUAGACUGAAACUUCAAGAUUAUAGUUUAACGAGUAGGCGUGCGUGUUGGUUGUAGAGAAGCUCGCUGCGUGAGCAGGAGUGUAACAGCCAAUAGUGCAGAUCUUGGUGGUAGUAGCAAAUAUUCAAGUGAGAACCUUGAAGGCCGAAGUGGAGAAAGGUUUCGCGAGAACAGCAUUUGAUCGCGAGUCAGUCGAUCCUGAGGCACAGAUUAACCUCGAGAAUCAGGCGAUUGGCUUCUGGUAGGGUAGUUGAAAGAUUAUUUUGUCAGAGGUGAAUUUAUUUCGUCUAUUGGUGUCGAAAGGGAAUCAGGGUUAAUAAUCCUGAACUAAUUAUCGGAUAUCUAAGUGCGGUAACGCAAACGAAACUGGAGACGGCUGCCAGUAUCCCGGGAAGAGUUCUCUUUUCUGUUUAACGGCUGCCUACUAACCAUUAAAUGGAUUUCGAUUCAAAUAAUGGUAAAUACCCCUGGAAUUAAAUUAUUUGGAGAUAGGGGUAGACAGUCGGAAGAGCAUGUCACUAUAAGAUGUGUCUGGUGCAUACUGGUAGUCCCUUGAAAAUCCAGCGGAGACAAUGAUUUUCGAAAUUAGUCGUACUCAUAACCGCAGCAGGUCUCCAAGGUUUGAAGCCUCUGGUCAAUAGAAUAACGUAGGUAAGGGAAGUCGGCAAAAUAGUGCCGUAACCUAGGGAAAAGGCAUGGCUCUAAAGGUUGGGUGCAAAGGGUCUGUAUUGCGGUCAUAGGUAACUAGGGUUGUAUGCGAGGCCCCUGUCGCAAGAUGGGAGCUAAGUGUGCUUCUUUGGCCCUAUGACGGGUGCAGGGUAGUCUUACUUAUAUUUGAUCAAGGGUUCGCUUUUGAAAGGGUGUAGGUCGCUUUCUUUGUGCAAUUAACAACUAAUUUAGAACUGGUACGGACUUGGAGAAUCCGACUGUUUAAUUAAAACAAAGCGUUGUGAUGGUCUAAGGUGAUUUUGACACAACGUGAUUUCUGCCCAGUGCUCUGAAUGUUAAAGUGAAGAAAUUCAACCAAGCGCGGGUAAACGGCGGGAGUAACUAUGACUCUCUUAAGGUAGCCAAAUGCCUCGUCAUCUAAUUAGUGACGCGCAUGAAUGGAUUAACGAGAUUCUCACUGUCCCUAUCUACUAUCUAGCGAAACCACAGCCAAGGGAACGGUCUUGGCAAAAUCAGCGGGGAAAGAAGACCCUGUUGAGCUUGACUCUAGUCAGACUUUGAGAAAUGACAUGAAGAAUAUAGCAUAGGUGGGAGGUUAUAACAAU
RNAcentral lists this ribosomal RNA (1470 nucleotides) under metagenome. RNAcentral describes it as "eukaryotic LSU rRNA". It matches the Rfam family "Eukaryotic large subunit ribosomal RNA", at positions 1155 to 2487 of the family's 3401-position model. The record is from RNAcentral.